RNAcentral lists this transfer RNA (59 nucleotides) under Eoxenos laboulbenei. Its description in RNAcentral is "transfer RNA-Pro". The record is from RNAcentral. Lineage: Eukaryota; Metazoa; Arthropoda; Insecta; Strepsiptera; Mengenillidae.
AAAUAUAUACAAAAUAUAGUUUAAAAAAAAAUAAUAAUUUUGGAGAUUAAAGUUAUAAA